This 237-nucleotide ribosomal RNA is filed under the name Salmonella enterica. RNAcentral describes it as "partial 16S ribosomal RNA". It matches the Rfam family "Bacterial small subunit ribosomal RNA", at positions 1 to 234 of the family's 1533-position model. RNAcentral also lists the same sequence under 17 other names. Lineage: Bacteria; Pseudomonadati; Pseudomonadota; Gammaproteobacteria; Enterobacterales; Enterobacteriaceae. The record is from RNAcentral.
AAAUUGAAGAGUUUGAUCAUGGCUCAGAUUGAACGCUGGCGGCAGGCCUAACACAUGCAAGUCGAACGGUAACAGGAAGCAGCUUGCUGCUUUGCUGACGAGUGGCGGACGGGUGAGUAAUGUCUGGGAAACUGCCUGAUGGAGGGGGAUAACUACUGGAAACGGUGGCUAAUACCGCAUAACGUCGCAAGACCAAAGAGGGGGACCUUCGGGCCUCUUGCCAUCAGAUGUGCCCAG